Malaclemys terrapin pileata is the source of this 1077-nucleotide long non-coding RNA. RefSeq lists it as uncharacterized. The transcript has 2 exons. The record is from RefSeq and is a predicted model, not a curated record. NCBI's taxonomy places the organism in Eukaryota, Metazoa, Chordata, Testudines, Emydidae.
UGUAUGGAUCAACCUUGCAUGCAUCACUUUCCCCACAUUUCCCUUUCCUGUGUGUUAAUUAUUUUAUUAAAGAGACCGACUUUAUUUUUAAUCGAUUGUACAAAAGCCCGGCCCGGAGGUCAAUUAACCUAAUGGACCACCUUCCACACACCCGCCUUCCAAAAAGGAACCCACUUCUUUUUUUCUGGUCAUAAAUCACUAAGUUAAAGGUGCUUCUUGGCGGGGGUGGGUUAUUGUACAGCAGCCAGCUGUGUGCAUUGCAUUGGUUGAUGCAACGUUUCCCUGGGCAGAAAGCAGCCACUGAGUGACUUUCAUACUCAUCAAUGGCAGAGAGACUCAGGGCAAGGGGGUGUGAUAGCAAAAUCUGAAAGCCAGCCAGUAAGGAGAACAAUGCAACCGUCCUUUGCACCGUGCGCUGGCUGCUAAACGGGUACUAAACACACAACAGAGUCAUACUGCAAUGCAACAACCACAGAAGGAAGAGACAACGGUCGAUUUCGCACCGGAGGGGAAAUAUAUUGCUUGCACUCCGAGCUAGUUAAUAGGAACAGCCCCGGUGCAGCAACAUCUCACGGCAGAAAAGUCCCAUUGCAACAGAGCUGCAGCCCCAAUUCCCAGUGACCUCAGUGCAACAGAGGGAAGGAGUGCAGCACCCACACUAAGAGCCACCUGAGGAGAAGUGGAUUAUUGUCCAAAGCCAUAUGCCCUAUGGAGGGGAAAGGGCUGCAACAUAUGCAGUGAGAUGGCUCCUAGGAGGCGGCAUAUGGCCCAUGUGGAGACAGACCUCACCCAGGAAUGGGUCGCAGUGCUUGCAAAGGGCCUCUUCUCCAUCUUAAUGAUUUGGAUCAUGAGGUUUAAGAGCAAAUACCCGUUGGAAUAGAACAGCACAACAAGCACACAAAAAAUGCCUUGCUGGUACAGCAUUUCAAAAGACUAGCUGCUUCUCCAAGACCGCAUCCUGGCCUGGCCUGACAAUCCCAUGGAGUUUGUGCAUUUUGUACUUUAUGAGAUUAUUGUUAUACAAAGUGUCAGUGUGUGCUGUAUGAGACACAAAUAAAUCCAAGCUUUCCUCAUCAA